AAUAAACAGAGUCAUGAGUUUUUAUAUCCAAUUUUGAUCAUCUGUUUUAUUUCUUUUUUUUAGAUUAAUAUUUUUAUUUUUAUUAGAUUAUAAAAUAUGAAUAGUACUUUAUAUGUGACUUUAUAUGUUAAGUCUUUUUUUAAAAAAAUUAAAUAAGACGAACGAUUAAAGUUGGACACGAAAACUCAUGGCAACAAUCAUU
Oryza nivara is the source of this 202-nucleotide non-coding RNA. Lineage: Eukaryota; Viridiplantae; Streptophyta; Magnoliopsida; Poales; Poaceae. The record is from Rfam.